This 301-nucleotide ribosomal RNA is filed under the name uncultured bacterium. RNAcentral describes it as "partial 16S ribosomal RNA". It matches the Rfam family "Bacterial small subunit ribosomal RNA", at positions 509 to 807 of the family's 1533-position model. The record is from RNAcentral.
CAGCCGCCACGGUAAUACGAAGGGGGCUAGCGUUGCUCGGAAUGACUGGGCGUAAAGGGCGCGUAGGCGGAUGGCACAGUCAGAUGUGAAAUACCCGGGCUUAACCUGGGGGCUGCAUUUGAUACGUGUUGUCUAGAGUGAGGAAGAGGGUUGUGGAAUUCCCAGUGUAGAGGUGAAAUUCGUAGAUAUUGGGAAGAACACCGGUGGCGAAGGCGGCAACCUGGUCCUUGACUGACGCUGAGGCGCGAAAGCGUGGGGAGCAAACAGGAUUAGAUACCCGCGUAGUCCCUGUCUCUUAUAC